This 497-nucleotide ribosomal RNA is filed under the name uncultured bacterium. RNAcentral's name for it is "partial 16S ribosomal RNA". It matches the Rfam family "Bacterial small subunit ribosomal RNA", at positions 28 to 507 of the family's 1533-position model. The record is from RNAcentral.
GAUGAACGCUGGCGGCGUGCCUAAUACAUGCAAGUCGAGCGAACGGACGAGAAGCUUGCUUUUCUGAUGUUAGCGGCGGACGGGUGAGUAACACGUGGAUAACCUACCUAUAAGACUGGGAUAACUUCGGGAAACCGGAGCUAAUACCGGAUAAUAUUUUGAACCGCAUGGUUCAAAAGUGAAAGACGGUCUUGCUGUCACUUAUAGAUGGAUCCGCGCUGCAUUAGCUAGUUGGUAAGGUAACGGCUUACCAAGGCAACGAUGCAUAGCCGACCUGAGAGGGGGAUCGGCCACACUGGAACUGAGACACGGUCCAGACUCCUACGGGAAGCAGCAGUAGGGAAUCUUCCGCAAUGGGCGAAAGCCUGACGGAGCAACGCCGCGUGAGUGAUGAAGGUCUUCGGAUCGUAAAACUCUGUUAUUAGGGAAGAACAUAUGUGUAAGUAGCUGUGCACAUCUUGACGGUACCUAAUCAGAAAGCCACGGCUAACUACGUG